UGAGGAAUAUUGGUCAAUGGGCGAGAGCCUGAACCAGCCAAGUCGCGUGAAGGAAGACUGCCCGCAAGGGUUGUAAACUUCUUUUGUAUGGGAUUAAAGUCGUCUACGUGUAGACGUUUGCAGUUACCAUACGAAUAAGCAUCGGCUAACUCCGUGCCAGCAGCCGCGGUAAUACGGAAGGUCCAGGCGUUAUCCGGAUUUAUUGGGUUUAAAGGGAGCGUAGGCUGUUUGUUAAGCGUGUUGUGAAAUGUAAGAGCUCAACUUUUAGAUUGCAGCGCGAACUGGCAGACUUGAGUGCGCACAACGUAGGCGGAAUUCAUGGUGUAGCGGUGAAAUGCUUAGAUAUCAUGACGAACUCCGAUUGCGAAGGCAGCUUACGGGAGCGCAACUGACGCUAAAGCUCGAAGGUGCGGGUAUCGAACAGG
Molecule: ribosomal RNA, 425 nt
Filed under: Verrucomicrobiota bacterium
Lineage: Bacteria; Pseudomonadati; Verrucomicrobiota
Description: Verrucomicrobia bacterium partial 16S ribosomal RNA
Rfam family: Bacterial small subunit ribosomal RNA
Source: RNAcentral